UUUNAAUNCCCUUUNUAAAAGNCCCNNUGGANUGUGCUGGUAGUGGCGGACGGGUGAGUAACGCGUGAGGACAUGGCUCCAGGAGGGGGAUAACGUUUGGAAACGGACGCUAAGACCCCAUAAGCCGGAAGGUGAAAGUGGGCAACCAGCCUGGAGAGUGACUCGCGUCCUAUCAGCUAGUUGGUGGGGUGAAGGCCUACCAAGGCGAUGACGGGUAGCCGACCUGAGAGGGUGGCCGGCCACACUGGAACUGAGAUACGGUCCAGACUCCUACGGGAGGCAGCAGUGGGGAAUAUUGGGCAAUGGGCGAAAGCCUGACCCANCGACGCCGCGUGGGGGAAGAAGUCCCUCGGGAUGUAAACCCUUGUUGUACGGGACGAAGGAAGUGACGGUACCGUACGAGGAANCCCCGGCAAACUACGUGCCAGCAGCCGCGGUAAUACCGUAGGGGGCGAGCGUUGUCCGGAAUCACUGGGCGUAAAGCGCACGUAUGCGGGCUGCCAAGUCGGCCGUGAAAGGCACUGGCUCAACCGGUGCAUGUCGGUCGAUACUGGCANUCUGGAGUAUGGGAGAAGGAACUGGAAUUCCCGGUGUNGCGGUGAAAUGCGUAANAUAUUUGGGAGGAACACCAUUGUCGAAGGCGGGGUUCCUUGGCCCAUGACUGACCCUGAGGUGCGAAAAGCC
This 684-nucleotide ribosomal RNA is filed under the name uncultured bacterium. Its description in RNAcentral is "bacterial SSU rRNA". It matches the Rfam family "Bacterial small subunit ribosomal RNA", at positions 72 to 762 of the family's 1533-position model. The record is from RNAcentral.